RNAcentral lists this ribosomal RNA (526 nucleotides) under uncultured bacterium. RNAcentral describes it as "bacterial SSU rRNA". It matches the Rfam family "Bacterial small subunit ribosomal RNA", at positions 381 to 896 of the family's 1533-position model. The record is from RNAcentral.
ACCUGACGCAGCGACGCCGCGUGAGGGAUGAAGGCCUUCGGGUUGUAAACCUCUGGUCAGGGGGGAAGAAUCCGGAGUCGGUGAAUACCCGACUCCACUGACGGUACCCCCAGAGGAAGCACCGGCUAACUCCGUGCCAGCAGCCGCGGUAAGACGGAGGGUGCAAACGUUGUUCGGAAUCACUGGGCGUAAAUGGCGCGUAGGCGGACUCGUAAGUCGGGAGUGAAAACUCGGGGCUCAACCCCGAGCCUGCUUCUGAAACUGCGAGUCUUGAGGACCGGAGAGGAAAGUGGAAUUCCUAGUGUAGCGGUGGAAUGCGUAGAUAUUAGGAAGAACACCAGUGGCGAAGGCGACUUUCUGGACGGUUUCUGACGCUGAGGCGCGAAAGCUAGGGGAGCAAACAGGAUUAGAUACCCUGGUAGUCCUAGCCGUAAACGAUGAGUGCUAGGUGGUGGUAGUUUCAACACUUUCACCGCCGCAGCCAACGCAUUAAGCACUCCGCCUGGGGAGUACGGCCGCAAGGUUG